Molecule: ribosomal RNA, 492 nt
Filed under: uncultured bacterium
Lineage: Bacteria
Description: partial 16S ribosomal RNA
Rfam family: Bacterial small subunit ribosomal RNA
Source: RNAcentral
AGUGAACGCUGGCGGUAGGCCUAACACAUGCAAGUCGAACGGCAGCACAGUAAGAGCUUGCUCUUACGGGUGGCGAGUGGCGGACGGGUGAGGAAUACAUCGGAAUCUACUUUUUCGUGGGGGAUAACGGAGGGAAACUUACGCUAAUACCGCAUACGACCUACGGGUGAAAGCAGGGGAUCUUCGGACCUUGCGCGAUUGAAUGAGCCGAUGUCGGAUUAGCUAGUUGGCGGGGUAAAGGCCCACCAAGGCGACGAUCCGUAGCUGGUCUGAGAGGAUGAUCAGCCACACUGGAACUGAGACACGGUCCAGACUCCUACGGGAGGCAGCAGUGGGGAAUAUUGGACAAUGGGCGCAAGCCUGAUCCAGCCAUACCGCGUGGGUGAAGAAGGCCUUCGGGUUGUAAAGUCCUUUUGUUGGGAAAGAAAAGCAGCAGGUUAAUACCCCGCUGUUCUGACGGUACCCAAAGAAUAAGCACCGGCUAACUUCGUG